GAAAGGGUCGACCGACCCUUCGGGGAGCUUGCACAGGUGCUGCAUGGCUGUCGUCAGCUCGUGUCGUGAGAUGUUCGGUUAAGUCCGCUAACGAGCGCAACCCUCGCUGUGUGUUAUAUGUGUCACACGGGACUGCCGGUCUUAAGCCGGAGGAAGUGGGAUGAUGUCAAGUCAGCAUGGCCUUUAUAUCCUGGGCUACACACACGCUACAAUGGCCAACACAAUAGGUUGCUAAGCCGCGAGGUGGCGCCAAUCCAUAAAGUUGGUCUCAGUUCAGAUUGUAGGCUGCAACCCGCCUGCAUGAAGAUGGAGUUGCUAGUAACCGCAGGUCAGCUAUACUGCGGUGAAUACGUUCCCGGGGCUU
This 364-nucleotide ribosomal RNA is filed under the name uncultured Leptolinea sp. Its description in RNAcentral is "bacterial SSU rRNA". It matches the Rfam family "Bacterial small subunit ribosomal RNA", at positions 1003 to 1382 of the family's 1533-position model. The record is from RNAcentral. Lineage: Bacteria; Bacillati; Chloroflexota; Anaerolineae; Anaerolineales; Anaerolineaceae.